AAUUCAGCAAUUCAGAAUAGGCUGAGUUGCUUGAAGAAAUAUCCUCCUGUUGCUGCCAGCCCACCCUGAGAUUUCACAAGCACUGUUCUGCUUCUCGUAAGUCAAGUUCCCAGGCUCUUGAACCCACCUUCCCAGGAGGUCCAUCAGGGGAUGUGGAUCCUGGAAAAUGCCUAAUGUCAAAUAGGGGCUCAUGGGGUCCACGGCAGCUUUGAUGAUUAUAAAUCUCCUCUGUUCUUCUUCCUCUAGAGAAAAAGUGCCGCCAAACAGCACUUUGACCAAGACGCUGACGCUGCUGCCCUUGCUGGCUAACAAUCAAGAAAGGAGAGGCAUUGCCCUGGAUGGGAAAAUCAAGCACGAGGACACAAACCUUGCCUCCAGCACCAUCAUUAAGGAGGGCAUAGACCGGACCGUCCUGGGGAUCCUGGUGUCUUACCAGAUCAAGGUGAAGCUCACAGUGUCAGGCUUUCUGGGAGAGCUCACCU
RNAcentral lists this small RNA (482 nucleotides) under Pan troglodytes (chimpanzee). RNAcentral describes it as "retained intron". Lineage: Eukaryota; Metazoa; Chordata; Mammalia; Primates; Hominidae. The record is from RNAcentral.